UACGGGGGGGGCAAGCGUUGUUCGGAAUUACUGGGCGUAAAGCGCGUGUAGGCGGUUGUCCAAGUUGGAUGUGAAAGCCUUGAGCUUAACUCAAGAAAUGCAUUCAGGACUGGAUGGCUAGAGGACCGGAGAGGAUAGUGGAAUUCCCAGUGUAGUGGUGAAAUACGUAGAGAUUGGGAAGAACACCAGUGGCGAAGGCGGCUAUCUGGACGGUUUCUGACGCUAAGACGCGAAAGCGUGGGGAGCAAACAGG
Molecule: ribosomal RNA, 253 nt
Filed under: uncultured bacterium
Lineage: Bacteria
Description: partial 16S ribosomal RNA
Rfam family: Bacterial small subunit ribosomal RNA
Source: RNAcentral